AACCCAUGGUGAGGGUGCCUUCUCAAAAGUUCCUUGUAUAUCUCCCAUGCAUUGUAGAGUGUUUCUAAAUCCAUCUGUACAAAAGAAGAGAUAUCAUUAUGUAAUU
Molecule: small nucleolar RNA, 106 nt
Filed under: Gossypium barbadense (sea-island cotton)
Lineage: Eukaryota; Viridiplantae; Streptophyta; Magnoliopsida; Malvales; Malvaceae
Also listed under: 1 other name
Description: Plant small nucleolar RNA R71
Rfam family: Plant small nucleolar RNA R71
About the family: R71 is a member of the C/D box family of snoRNAs containing the C (UGAUGA) and D (CUGA) box motifs. Multiple nearly identical copies of this snoRNA have been identified in Arabidopsis, and it is thought to function as a 2'-O-ribose methylation guide for 18S ribosomal RNA.
Source: Rfam by way of RNAcentral